GGGACUAUAGCUCAAUGGCAGAGCUGUCGGCUCAUAACUGAUAGGUUCCUGGUUCGAGUCCAGGUGGUCCCA
Molecule: transfer RNA, 72 nt
Filed under: Anaerolineae bacterium
Lineage: Bacteria; Bacillati; Chloroflexota; Anaerolineae
Description: tRNA-Ile
Rfam family: tRNA
About the family: Transfer RNA (tRNA) molecules are approximately 80 nucleotides in length. Their secondary structure includes four short double-helical elements and three loops (D, anti-codon, and T loops). Further hydrogen bonds mediate the characteristic L-shaped molecular structure. tRNAs have two regions of fundamental functional importance: the anti-codon, which is responsible for specific mRNA codon recognition, and the 3' end, to which the tRNAs corresponding amino acid is attached (by aminoacyl-tRNA synthetases). tRNAs cope with the degeneracy of the genetic code in two manners: having more than one tRNA (with a specific anti-codon) for a particular amino acid; and 'wobble' base-pairing, i.e. permitting non-standard base-pairing at the 3rd anti-codon position.
Source: RNAcentral